CUGGACGUGAGCCGUCUUCCGAUCGUGUUGUCCCAAGUAGCGCGGGCCUCGUGGAAUCCCGCGUGAAUCAGCCCAGACCGUUGGGUAAGUCUAAGCAUACCUGUCUGACCGAUAGCGUACCAGUACCGUGAGGGAAAGGUGAAAAGCACCCCGGGAGGGGAGUGAAACAGUUCCUGAAACCGUGCGCCCACAAACCGUCGGAGCCUCCUUGUGGGGUGACGGCGUGCCUAUCGAAAAAUGAGUCUGCGAGUCAGUGGCGGGUGGCGAGCAUAAGCCGUGUGGCGUAUGCGUAGCGAAAGCGAGUCUUAAAAGGCGUUUGUAGUCGCUUGUCCUGGACCCGAAGCGGGAUGAUCUAGCCCUGGGCAGGUUGAAGCGCGGGUAAGACCGCGUGGAGGACCGAACCCACCUGGGUUGAAAACCGGGGGGAUGACCUGGGGCUAGGGGUGAAAGGCCAAUCAAAUUCCGUGAUAGCUGGUUCUCUCCGAAAUGCAUUUAGGUGCAGCGUCGGUCGAUUGCGUCGCGGGGGUAGAGCUACCGGAUGCUUGCGGGCCCUUGUUGGGUACCAACAGCAGCCGAACUCCGAAUACCGUUGACGUGUAUUCCGGCAGUGAGUCGGCGGGGGAUAAGCUCCGUCGUCGAGAGGGAGACAGCCCAGACCGUCGUCUAAGGUCCCGAAGCGUGUGCUAAGUGGGAAAGGAUGUGGAGUCGCAUAGACAGCCAGGAGGUUGGCUCAGAAGCAGCCAUCCUUGAAAGAGUGCGUAACAGCUCACUGGUCUAGUGGUUCCGCGCCGACAAUGUAGCGGGGCUCAAGCACACCACCGAAGACGCGGCAGCGCAUCUGAUGCGCUGGGUAGGAGAGCGUCCUGCGAGGGGCGAAGCGGCGGUGGAAACCGGCCGUGGACUUCGUGGGAGUGAGAAUGCAGACAUGAGUAGCGAGAGACGGGUGAGGAUCCCGUCCGCUGGAUGACCAAGGGUUCCGGGGCCACGUUCGUCGUCCCCGGGUGAGUCGGGUCCUAAGGCGAGGCCGACAGGCGUAGUCGAAUGGAUGAACGGGUGGAUAUUCCCGUACCGACCAUGGACCGGCAAAACCGAGACGGUGAGUACUAACCUCCGCCUCGUGGUGGUUCCUUCCUUCGGGUUGGUUCCGCCGCGUGGUGUUGGGACUGUAGCCGUAGUAGGUCAGCGCAGGGGUGACACGGAAUGGGAGCCGGCCGCGGAGGUGGUUUUCCGUGGUCAAGCACGCAGCCAGUCAUGUAGGCAAAUCCGCAUGGCGCGCAUGGCGAGGUGUGAUGAUGGGAGCCGUUAUGGCUCGAUAUCCGGUUGUCCAGGCCGUCGAGAAAAGCCUCGGCGUGAGGGCCAUGGCCGCCCGUACCCCAAACCGACACUGGUGGUCAGGUAGAGAAUACCAAGGCGAUCGAGCGAAUCCUGGUCAAGGAACUCGGCAAAUCACUCCCGUGCCUUCGGUAUAAGGGAGACCCGCUGGGGUGAAGGACCUUGCGUCCGGAGCUUUGGUGGGUGGCACAGACCAGGGGGUAGCGACUGUUUACCAAAAACACAGGUGCAUGCGAAGGCGAAAGCCGCUGUAUAUGCACUGACGCCUGCCCGGUGCCGGAAGGUUAAGAGGAUCCGUCAGCCUUCGGGUGAAGCGGUGAAUUCAAGCCCCGGUAAACGGCGGUGGUAACUAUAACCAUCCUAAGGUAGCGAAAUUCCUUGUCGGGUAAGUUCCGACCUGCACGAAUGGCGUA
Molecule: ribosomal RNA, 1745 nt
Filed under: human gut metagenome
Description: bacterial LSU rRNA
Rfam family: Bacterial large subunit ribosomal RNA
Source: RNAcentral